ACGGGAAUGCCACGCUGAUGCGAUUUCGGUCAAAUCAUGUGGCAUUCGAGUGGCGGACGGGUGAGUAACGCGUGGGUAACCUGCCUUACACAGGGGGAUAACACCUGGAAACAGGUGCUAAUACCGCAUAAGCGCACAGGGCCGCAUGGCCCGGUGUGAAAAACUCCGGUGGUGUAAGAUGGACCCGCGUCUGAUUAGCUUGUUGGCGGGGUAGGGGCCCACCAAGGCGACGAUCAGUAGCCGGCCUGAGAGGGUGGACGGCCACAUUGGGACUGAGACACGGCCCAAACUCCUACGGGAGGCAGCAGUGGGGGAUAUUGGACAAUGGGGGAAACCCUGAUCCAGCGACGCCGCGUGAGUGAAGAAGUAUUUCGGUAUGUAAAGCUCUGUCAGCAGGGAAGAAAGAAAUGACGGUACCUGACCAAGAAGCCCCGGCUAACUACGUGCCAGCAGCCGCGGUAAUACGUAGGGGGCAAGCGUUAUCCGGAAUUACUGGGUGUAAAGGGAGCGUAGACGGUGAUGCAAGUCUGGAGUGAAAGGCGGGGGCCCAACCCCCGGACUGCUCUGGAAACUGUGUAACUUGAGUGCAGGAGAGGUAAGCGGAAUUCCUAGUGUAGCGGUGAAAUGCGUAGAUAUUAGGAGGAACACCAGUGGCGAAGGCGGCUUACUGGACUGUAACUGACGUUGAGGCUCGAAAGCGUGGGGAGCAAACAGGAUUAGAUACCCUGGUAGUCCACGCCGUAAACGAUGAUUACUAGGUGUCGGUGGGUAUGGACCCAUCGGUGCCGCAGCAAACGCAGUAAGUAAUCCACCUGGGGAGUACGUUCGCAAGAAUGAAACUCAAAGGAAUUGACGGGGA
Molecule: ribosomal RNA, 859 nt
Filed under: uncultured bacterium
Lineage: Bacteria
Description: bacterial SSU rRNA
Rfam family: Bacterial small subunit ribosomal RNA
Source: RNAcentral